Long non-coding RNA from Patella vulgata (common limpet), 1304 nucleotides. RefSeq lists it as uncharacterized. The record is from RefSeq and is a predicted model, not a curated record. Lineage: Eukaryota; Metazoa; Mollusca; Gastropoda; Patellidae. The transcript is spliced from 3 exons.
UAUUCAUUCUCUAUUGCUUGUCGUCGAUGAGAGAGCACAACGGACAAUUUUCUUUAAUUUUUGGAUCAAUUACUUUACGUCCAAUUACCAUCUCAGUGCAUCGUAGACAUGGGUUGUUCCGGAAGUAAGAGCACAGAGACCGCAGCUGCUGGAGAUAGGAAGCCAGAAACGAAGCCUGAAACUAAUCACGAACAGGAAACAGACGCAUCAGGAAAAACAGACGCAACAGAAACAACGGACGCCCAUAAAACAAUUGACGCACCAGAGGAACCAGUAACGCCAGUUCAAAAUAACGCCGAGGAGCAAACAGAACAAGUAACAGAAAAUAGUCCAGUAGAGGCACCGCUUGAGGCUGAAGAAACAUAAUGAAAAUACAACGACACAGACAGAAAUCUGAGAGAUUGAGUGUUGAUUGUAUUUGAGACCAGAUAUCGCAAUAACUCAUCAUGGAUCAAAAUCAUGUUUUUUUUUCUAUUUCAACCGCUGUUUUAUUUUUUUUUUUUAAUUUAAAUAUGUAUUAUGUAAGAGCUAAAUCUGCACAUUGCAGAUCUUUUUUCUGGCUUCUGUUAUAUAAAUUAUUAUUUAGACCUCUAUGGUCUUGAAAAGCCCUAUACCCAACCCUCUAGAUCAUCGGAUGGCAGAAAUAUUAUAUGGGUUAGAACCUCGCGCCAUUUCAGGGGCGGAUCCAGGGGGUUUAUUGUUAAGGAAAUUUAAAAGUUGACAAUGCAUGAUGCCAUCAUCGUCACUAAAUUACGAAGGCAUCCAUACACAUUGAGCUUUUUAAAGAGAGAAAUCCAACUUCCUGUUUGAUGUCAAUUUUUAUAAUGAAUUAAUAGGAUCACAUUGUGAUUCAAUUUCAUUGAUGCAAAGCAUUAAUUGUGAUAUCACACAUGUCUAUAUUAUCAUUACAUCGCGCUUUGAAUGCCAACCCCAUUCCACUAUCUUAUGAGUAAGGAUAACGCACAAGACGGUUACACUUUUCUCAUAAAGUUAUGUUUUACCCCCCCCCUCUCUCUCUCUCUCUGGAUCCGCCCCUGCAUUUCAUAAUUGAACGUUAAAAUCUGUAUUAUCGUAGCAGUUUAACUGUCGGUCGGUCAACCAUUUAUCUAAAUCUUACAUAAUGCAUUUUUAAGCUUGCAAACAAAGCUGUGAUAUUUUAUAUUUUAAAAAAGCACCACGCACCAGAUAUCUAUGUUUGUAUAUUUUCAAUAUUUGUUUUUGAUGUUAAAAGGUCGCGAACGAAUAGGGGUGUUUUUCUAUGAUUGAUUUAAAAUUUGUAAAUUUACUCAUGGGCGUCACACAUG